This 89-nucleotide transfer RNA is filed under the name Oscillospiraceae bacterium. Its description in RNAcentral is "tRNA-Ser". It matches the Rfam family "tRNA". From Rfam's summary of the family: Transfer RNA (tRNA) molecules are approximately 80 nucleotides in length. Their secondary structure includes four short double-helical elements and three loops (D, anti-codon, and T loops). Lineage: Bacteria; Bacillati; Bacillota; Clostridia; Eubacteriales; Oscillospiraceae. The record is from RNAcentral.
GGAGACGUAUCGAAGUGGUCAUAACGGGGCUGACUCGAAAUCAGUUAGGGAGAAAUCCCACGCGAGUUCGAAUCUCGCCGUCUCCGCCA